RNAcentral lists this ribosomal RNA (473 nucleotides) under uncultured bacterium. RNAcentral's name for it is "bacterial SSU rRNA". It matches the Rfam family "Bacterial small subunit ribosomal RNA", at positions 28 to 507 of the family's 1533-position model. The record is from RNAcentral.
GACGAACGCUGGCGGCGUGCCUAAACAUGCAAGUCGAGCGGGGUUGAAGCGAGAGGUAACUCGAACUUCUACCUAGCGGCGGACGGUGAGUAACGCGUGGGCAACCUGCCUCAAGGUCUGGGAUAACAGCCCGAAAGGGCUGCUAAUACUGGGUAUGCUUGUGGCCUCGCAUGGGGCUAUGAGCAAAGGGGAAACCCGCCUUGAGAUGGGCCCGCGUCCCAUCAGCUAGUUGGUGAGGUAACAGCUCACCAAGGCGACGACGGGUAGCCGGCCUGAGAGGGUGACCGGCCACACUGGGACUGAGACACGGCCCAGACUCCUACGGGGGGCAGCAGUGGGGGAUCUUGCACAAUGGGCGAAAGCCUGAUGCAGCGACGCCGCGUGAGCGAAGAAGGCCUUCGGGUUGUAAAGCUCUGUCUGGAGGGACGAAGGAAGUGACGGUACCUCCGGAGGAAGCCACGGCUAACUACGUG